Molecule: unclassified non-coding RNA, 3692 nt
Filed under: Hevea brasiliensis (rubber tree)
Lineage: Eukaryota; Viridiplantae; Streptophyta; Magnoliopsida; Malpighiales; Euphorbiaceae
Source: RNAcentral
AAACAAAAAAAAAAAAAAAAAACUCUUUCUGAGUCUAGGUCACUUUGAGCAAGUGCAGUAGUAUAGUAGUGUUAGGCACCCCUGAAACUAUUCAAGAAGCAUAAAAUGUAAAAGGUUGCAGUUGUUAUUUCACUAACCUAACAAUCUUUGACAUCCUUGGUGUCCUAUGUUCAAAUAACAUUUGAGCAAGCUAAACCUGCUAGUUUUUAUUAUUCAAUGAAAUGUCCAUAAGAAGUUUUUUACUGGUUCACGUGCCUUCAUCACGCGUGCUUUGACGUGCUCUGAUAGUGAUGACAUCAGCAGUAAGGGUAUUCUUUAUUAUGAAAAUAGGUUUACAUGAUUGUAUAAGGGCUUAAUAUUAAUAGGUUAUUCCCAACAAGUUUAAGGGAGAAUUUAUGCAUUAGGCCUUUAUGUUAUUCUACAAACUCUUGAGUCAUGAUUAAUUAAUUUGUUUUUUUUUUCUUCAUUGUUUUUUUAAGGUGCCUUUGGUUUUACAGAUCUCCUUUGUGCGUCGCUUAUUGGGAGAAUCAAUGGGCAGUUCAUUUAAUCCUCAGAUUUUAGUGGAAAAGCUUGCCAAGCUCAACCCUUCACAGGCAAGCAUAGAGAGUAUCCUUUUGAUAUGGAUAGUGAAUAAUGCGUCUCUUCCUAUUUAUACUUCUAAUUUCUGUCUAGGAUAAUUGUGUUGGAUGUUUUCACUUUCAUGAAUGGUCAGGCAUCCAUUUUCAAAAUCUUUUGGUAAUAACAUAUGAAAACUCUAUUAUCAAGUUUGUUGCAUUGAUAUCUCCAAAUUUUUUUAAAAAAAAAAUGAUGCAUUGCAGUUGAGCUUUACCAAGCAACUCUCAGAAAUUAUCCUUAUAAUGUUCUCUAAGGUAAAAGCUAUGUUAUGUUUAAUGGCUUUUGGAAUCCUCUAUAACUUUACACCUUGAGUUGUACCAUUGGUUGUCAUUUUCUCCUCAAUGUUUGGAACAAAGUCUAAAUAUUUUGUUUGGUUAAUUUGCUAAGUGGUUUUUCUUCAAUGAUAUAUGGUCACAGUACAUUUAGCAUGUAUAUAUGUAUUAGCCUUUUGUCUUAUGUAAUCAUUUAAACCCCUAACCUUCAGUAGACUGUGGUUCUUUUGUUUCUAAUUUGCAAUCCUUAACGCACUAAGCUUUAUCACAUUGGUGCAUUUUCCAUAUGAAUAAAGCAAAGCAAGUUGUAGAAACAUGGGAAAAACAAUUUCAUUGCUCUCCACGUGAGCAAAGAUUGGCUUUUCUGUAUCUUGCAAAUGACAUUUUGCAGAAUAGUCGUCGUAAAGGUUCAGAGUUUGUUGCUGAAUUUUGGAAGGUUCUUCCAGAUGCUCUCCAUGAUGUAAUUGGAAAUGGGGAUGAGGUUGGAAGAAAUGCUGCGCUAAGACUGAUUGGCAUAUGGGAAGACAGAAAAGUUUUUGGUUCCCGUGGGCAAAUUCUCAAGGAAGAACUUGUGGGAAAGCACUCAGAUAGUAGUAACAGAAAUGGAAAGACUAUAGGCUUCAAACAGAAACAGCCUCCUGGAAGUUCUGGAAGUACACUAGACAAGAUAAUUGCAGGUUAUCAAGUCGUUCAUGGUGGCCAGGUGGAUGAAGAUAUUAUAAUAAACAAAUGUAGGAAUGCUAUUAGCUCUCUUGAGAAAGCUGAGAAGGAAAUUGGUGUCAAUAUUAAUUCAGGACAAUUCCAUGGAGCUUCAUUUGUGGAAGAGCUGCAAGGGCAGCACGUUAUUUUGAGGGACAGCAUUGAAAAACUGAGAGUCAUUGAAUCAUCAAGGGCAAGUCUCGUGUCUCAUCUGAGAGAAGCUCUGCAGGAGCAGGAAUCCAAGCUGGAACAAAUUCGCAAUCAACUUCAGGUUUGACAUCUCGUACAUGCAAUACAUAAGUUGGCUAUUGAUAUUUGUUAUUGUUAUGACAUGCUGAUAAAUUAUAACUGGAAAUGACUCUUUAUGUCUGAUAAUUUCAAUGGUGAAUGCCACUAAUGCUUGAAAUUUCCUGGAUAAUAUAUAUAUAUACACAUAUAUGCUUAGUUUAAAGGUUCUGGCAUGUAUGUUCUUUGCUUUUGGAAAAUAAUUAAUUGCAGGAUCUUUAAGACUUUUUGCUAUGAUUUCUCUGAAUUGAAUAUUUAGAAGACCUAGUUGCACAUGCUUCUAUUUCCUAGUUUAUAACUUAGAAUUUUGAGGACAUUUGAUAUGAAAGUAUAGGUAAUACAUCCUGAUUCAGUUCAGAUAUAUAUUUUAUUGCAUUGGCAGUUGAGGGGAUAGUCUGAUAUCCCCUUAUGUGUUGGUAAAUUAUAUGUGACCUUGUUUUGUACAAUUAAACCAAACAAUUUCACAUGAUCACAUGCAUUUAUCAGUAACACAGUCAUCCUUUGUCUCAACUUUUCUCUUUUUUCUUAGGCUUAAGGUCAAUGCCUUUGCCUGUUUUCCCUUAAAUGAGUAGUAAUAUAUUAACACUAAUAUGUUUCAAGUUCAGCUUCCGAAUCUGUUUACCUGUAAUAAGUAGUAAUAUAUAAAAUGCUUUACAAAGUUUUUACCGGUAGUAAGCACUUCUGAUAAUUUGAGUGUGGCAGUGUUAUCUGUACUAACUUUAAGCAUAUUUCUGGUCUUCCUUCCAUAUUUAUUGUAGGCUGGACAGUCCCAGUCAGAACAUACUAAUAAUGUCUGCCAGCAGUUGUUGCGAUCUAAUAAUGUGCCGUUAGUUGCUGAGCAAGGUCCAAAGGAAGUUAGUACUUCCAUUGCAUCUCAAAACUUUAUACCUGGAGACAGCGAACAAUCAGCUCCAGCAAUGUACAUAAGGCAGGUAUCUUUCCCUGAAAAAACUGGUCUAAUUGAGGAAGAUCCCCGGAAGUCUGCAGCUGCUGCAGUGGCAGCAAAAUUAACUGCAUCAACAUCGUCAGCCCAGAUGCUUUCUUAUGUCCUCUCUUCACUUGCAUCUGAAGGCGGCAUUGGCAAUCCAUUAAAAGAAUCAUCUGGUGAAUACCCCUCUGGAAAGAAGGCUAAGCUCGAGAAUGAUCAGCCUUACAUGCUGAGCCAGAAUCCUUCACGGCAACCACUUCCUUCUUUUCAACAUCCUGAUACUUUCCAAGUGGCAACCACUGGUCAGCAAUUAACUUCAAAUGAUCCACCACCUCCCCCAUCAUCACCUCCACCACCACCUCCACUACCGCCUAUGCCAUCAUAUUCAAUUCCCCAGUACAUGCAGACUGCUGGAUCAAUAAAUGCUGGACCAUACAGCUACGGCAUGUCCCUGCAGCAGCCACCAUUCUUGCCUGGCUAUCCUGGAGUUGGGACUCAAAUGACAGGUAUCCCUUCCUUUGCACUGCCCCCAACAAAUUCAUACCCAAGUUAUCAGGGUUCGGAUGGUAAUUUUUACAGCCAACCAUCAUCGAUGCCAAUUUCCCGGCAGUAGAAUUUUUGAAGGCUGUUUACAGUGGGGAGGUGGUUUUGCCGUGGAAGCAUGAGAGAUAUCAAAAAACUAAUGUAGCUUGUAAGUUACCCAUGUGCCUUUGAUUAUACCCCUAAUUAGAUUUGCACAUAGUAAAUGUUUACUGCUGGCGUUUAAACAAUUUCUUUGGAUUGUUCCAUUGAGAAAUAUAUAUGAAUUGAUUCAGUUAAGACUUUUGAUUACUGGAAUGCUGAUUUGUGGCUUCAUUUCUUACUGAUUGUGCUACUUUUGUGCCCAAAUUUCU